Molecule: ribosomal RNA, 253 nt
Filed under: uncultured bacterium
Lineage: Bacteria
Description: partial 16S ribosomal RNA
Rfam family: Bacterial small subunit ribosomal RNA
Source: RNAcentral
UACGAAGGGGGCUAGCGUUGUUCGGAAUUACUGGGCGUAAAGCGCACGUAGGCGGAUUGUUAAGUGAGGGGUGAAAUCCCAGGGCUCAACCCUGGAACUGCCUUCCAUACUGGCAAUCUCGAGUCCGAGAGAGGUGAGUGGAAUUCCGAGUGUAGAGGUGAAAUUCGUAGAUAUUCGGAGGAACACCAGUGGCGAAGGCGGCUCACUGGCUCGGUACUGACGCUGAGGUGCGAAAGCGUGGGGAGCAAACAGG